This 495-nucleotide ribosomal RNA is filed under the name uncultured bacterium. RNAcentral describes it as "partial 16S ribosomal RNA". It matches the Rfam family "Bacterial small subunit ribosomal RNA", at positions 28 to 507 of the family's 1533-position model. The record is from RNAcentral.
GACGAACGCUGGCGGCGUGCCUAAUACAUGCAAGUAGAACGCUGAAGGAGGAGCUUGCUUCUCUGAAUGAGUUGCGAACGGGUGAGUAACGCGUAGGUAACCUGCCUGGUAGCGGGGGAUAACUAUUGGAAACGAUAGCUAAUACCGCAUAAGAGUAGAUGUUGCAUGACAUUUGCUUAAAAGGUGCAAUUGCAUCACUACCAGAUGGACCUGCGUUGUAUUAGCUAGUUGGUAAGGUAACGGCUCACCAAGGCAACGAUACAUAGCCGACCUGAGAGGGUGAUCGGCCACACUGGGACUGAGACACGGCCCAGACUCCUACGGGAGGCAGCAGUAGGGAAUCUUCGGCAAUGGACGGAAGUCUGACCGAGCAACGCCGCGUGAGUGAAGAAGGUUUUCGGAUCGUAAAGCUCUGUUGUAAGAGAAGAACGAGUGUGAGAGUGGAAAGUUCACACUGUGACGGUAUCUUACCAGAAAGGGACGGCUAACUACGUG